GGGACUGUGGGGUAGCUUGGUCAUCCUAUGGCGUUCGGGACGCCGUGACUCCGGUUCAAAUCCGGACAGUCCCA
RNAcentral lists this transfer RNA (74 nucleotides) under mine drainage metagenome. RNAcentral's name for it is "tRNA-Pro". It matches the Rfam family "tRNA". Rfam says of the family: Transfer RNA (tRNA) molecules are approximately 80 nucleotides in length. Their secondary structure includes four short double-helical elements and three loops (D, anti-codon, and T loops). Further hydrogen bonds mediate the characteristic L-shaped molecular structure. tRNAs have two regions of fundamental functional importance: the anti-codon, which is responsible for specific mRNA codon recognition, and the 3' end, to which the tRNAs corresponding amino acid is attached (by aminoacyl-tRNA synthetases). tRNAs cope with the degeneracy of the genetic code in two manners: having more than one tRNA (with a specific anti-codon) for a particular amino acid; and 'wobble' base-pairing, i.e. permitting non-standard base-pairing at the 3rd anti-codon position. The record is from RNAcentral.